AGAUUGAACGCUGGCGGCAGGCCUAACACAUGCAAGUCGAGCGGUAGAGAGGUGCUUGCAUCUCUUGAGAGCGGCGGACGGGUGAGUAAUGCCUAGGAAUCUGCCUAGUGGGUGGGGGAUAACGUUCGGAAACGGACGCUAAUACCGCAUACGUCCUACGGGAGAAAGGCGGGGGACCUUCGGGCCUCGCGCCAUUAGAUGAGCCUAGGUCGGAUUAGCUAGUUGGUGAGGUAAUGGCUCACCAAGGCGACGAUCCGUAACUGGUCUGAGAGGAUGAUCAGUCACACUGGAACUGAGACACGGUCCAGACUCCUACGGGAGGCAGCAGUGGGGAAUAUUGGACAAGUGGGCGAAAGCCUGAUCCAGCCAUCGCCGCGUGUGUGAAGAAGGUCUUCGGAUUGUAAAAGCUAACUUUUAAGGUUGGGUAAGGUAAGGGUUAGUAAACCGUUAAUUACGUUGACUUAACGUUUGACCGUUACCGAC
This 483-nucleotide ribosomal RNA is filed under the name uncultured soil bacterium. Its description in RNAcentral is "bacterial SSU rRNA". It matches the Rfam family "Bacterial small subunit ribosomal RNA", at positions 26 to 518 of the family's 1533-position model. The record is from RNAcentral.